AACGAGGCGCUAACUACAAAGACACAGCGCCGGUCAGCUGACGACAUCAACACACCAUCCGGUAGUGUUAAUGUCGACUUGGUGAUGACUGAAACGUCGUCGUCUCCUCAUCUUCCGGUGUGUGGUGUUUACGGUCAUCACACCAUCUUGUCCUCGCCGCCACGGGCAUCUUGAGGCGCUGUGACUCGCCUUCCAGCCUUACACCACUCCAGCAGUCAUAUUGGAGAAGAACCUUACCGCCAGCGCGUCGUACAGUCUUAAGACAUUGAUAUAAGUUUAUUAGGGGUAUAACUACACAUUAAGGGAUCUCGCCCCGUUGCCGUCAAGAUGUGAUCGCACUUCAUAUUUCUACAGCUGAAUAUUCAGAGUGUCAGCAACGAGCGGAUGGAAGUAGCGCAAGAGAAUAAUCAAGAGAAUGCAACAUGUGGAAAGAUAAUAACGGGCGCGGCCACCUAUUCCUCUCCCUGAAACACCGUUCGCCAGACACCACAGG
Procambarus clarkii (red swamp crayfish) is the source of this 493-nucleotide non-coding RNA. The record is from RefSeq and is a predicted model, not a curated record. Lineage: Eukaryota; Metazoa; Arthropoda; Malacostraca; Decapoda; Cambaridae.